This 432-nucleotide ribosomal RNA is filed under the name uncultured bacterium. RNAcentral's name for it is "partial 16S ribosomal RNA". It matches the Rfam family "Bacterial small subunit ribosomal RNA", at positions 29 to 507 of the family's 1533-position model. The record is from RNAcentral.
AACGAACGCUGGCGGCAUGCCUAACACAUGCAAGUCGAACGAGACCUUCGGGUCUAGUGGCGCACGGGUGCGUAACGCGUGGGAACCUGCCCUUAGGUUCGGAAUAACUCCCCGAAAGGGGUGCUAAUACCGGAUAAUGUCUUCGGACCAAAGAUUUAUCGCCUUUGGAUGGGCCCGCGUUGGAUUAGCUAGUUGGUAGGGUAAAAGCCUACCAAGGCGACGAUCCAUAGCUGGUCUGAGAGGAUGAUCAGCCGCACUGGGACUGAGACACGGCCCAGACUCCUACGAGAGGCAGCAGUGGGAAUAUUGGACAAUGGGCGAAAGCGUGAUCCAGCAAUGCCGGGUGAGUGAUGAAGGCCUUAGGGUUGUAAAGCUCUUUUACCCGGGAUGAUAAUGACGGUACCGGGAGAAUAAGCUCCGGCUAACUCCGUG